This 358-nucleotide transfer-messenger RNA is filed under the name Ignavibacteriaceae. Its description in RNAcentral is "XYD12-FULL-36-8 sp013388515 Standard tmRNA". It matches the Rfam family "transfer-messenger RNA". From Rfam's summary of the family: Bacterial tmRNA, also known as 10Sa RNA or SsrA, is named for its dual tRNA and mRNA-like properties. RNAcentral also lists the same sequence under 1 other name. The record is from RNAcentral. Lineage: Bacteria; Pseudomonadati; Ignavibacteriota; Ignavibacteria; Ignavibacteriales.
GGGGGUGAAUUUGGUUUCGACGGGGUUAAAGAGGCUUAGAACUGCGCACCGUGUUCCCCAGAGUACACGUUAAACAAUUGGGAAAAAAAAUAACUGGCGAAUAUAAUUACGCCUUAGCUGCUUAAUUAACUAAGCAGCCGUUCACCAAGUUUUCGCAUACCGGAAUUUGAUUGAACGUCGUUUAGGUAUGAUUGCUGAUUCUGUUGCUUGUGCAGAUGAUGUGAAAUUUUUAGCAAGCAAGCUUUAAGUAAUCCUAGUCUGUUAGGUAGCUUAAAGUUAAAACAAUAUCAGACUAUGUGUGUAGAUGUUCUUUGGAUCUUAACUUCGGACGCGGGUUCGACUCCCGCCACCUCCACCA